Myotis daubentonii (Daubenton's bat) is the source of this 3815-nucleotide long non-coding RNA. RefSeq lists it as uncharacterized. The transcript is spliced from 3 exons. The record is from RefSeq and is a predicted model, not a curated record. Lineage: Eukaryota; Metazoa; Chordata; Mammalia; Chiroptera; Vespertilionidae.
GCUGCGCCGCUGUCCCGGGUAAUUUUUCAUCUCGGCCGGCUAAUCUUUGUUCCCAGCGAAGAUAAUGAAUAGCCAAUCGUUAUCUGCCCGGCUGCUGGAGGCUGCCCGAGAAUGGGGUUGUACAGGGCUGGGAAUUGUUUCCAAAGUGCCGCGGAAUAAAUGGUGUUCCUUAUCUCUGCCUUCCAGAUUAUCGGAGCCCUUUCAGAGCGCGCACAACAAAUGCGCCCGCCAUCGAAUGCAUCAUUUACCACCGCAGAUCCGCGUGCUGAUGGGCAGGCAGAUAGCAGUCCACGGGGGGCACGCCAGGCGCCCAGCGGCGGCACUGCUAGACUGCGAGGUGGAGGCGGGGGGGCGGGAGGCCCGAAUGUGCGCCCCCACUGUGCCCGCCUCUUUGGUGGUUGGGCAUGUGGGUGUGCCAGUGGAUGGGCACUGAGCAAGCAAGGGAGUUGAUGUGCGUGCGCGUAUGUCAAACAAGUGUGCUACAAGAAGUGCACGUGUGCAAGCCCAUGCACACACGGGUGCACACGGGUGAUGGGCCUGCGUGCUGUGAGUGCCUGGAGACGAGGCUCUGAGGGUACACAGAGGAAGGGGUAUUGCACAGGAGUGUGUGAACAUGCGUGUCACUCAGGGCGGGCGGGGGGGGUGGUAAAUACGUGUGUGAAGGAGUGGAUGUGCAAGCCCCUGUGUAUACGUGUGAUGGAUGUGUGGACUGUGAGUGACUCAGUGUAUCUGCCUCAAAGAAGCCCUUUAGGAGUACACACUGGAGGUGCGUGCGUGUGUGUGUGCAUGAGUGUUACUCUCCUGAAUGCCCUGUGCCUGCAGGCGUCCCAUCCUGCUCAGCGUUUUAGGGCCACGCGUGCUUAUAAGCGUGUGCAUCCCUGCACACCUGUGACUGCCAGGAGUGAGUGGGCAGGUGUGGGUGUUCGCCCGGUGUGUGCACGGAUCUGCGUGAGGGCGGUCGUUUCCUUGUGAAUCUCCCUGCCCAGGUGUGCCCGGGUGCACUGCAAGAGGGGCAAGCGCGGCCUUGGGGCCUGGCCCUGUGCCUGCAGGUGUAGGCUCCAGGCGGGACACACGAGCUGGGGAAAGAAAUAGCAAAGCGGAGAGCAUGGUACGUGUGGGAGUGCUAGACGUCACAAUGGAGUGGGCUGUGCCCCGUAGCAUGACUGCUUGCGACAGAAAACGGGGUGUGUAAGGGGAGGGUUCUCCCGAGGAGUUUGGGAACACCCAGAGAUCCUAACCCGCCUCAGUGGCACGUCCCGCCAGUGGUCCCAGAGCCUCCCCAGCUCUAGACCGGGGUAAGCGGGGCCGAGCGCUGCUGCCGGAGGAGCCGCGCGCGGUGAGUGACACGCGCUGCCGACAAAGGCUGUAUUUUUCCAGGCUCGCGCCCCGCCCGCGAUGGUCCCCAUGGCGACGCAGAUAGCGCUGCAGCCAUUUUUCCUAUCUCCCCGGAGUCUAUUAUAUCGCGGGAUUAGCUCAUCUCCAGGCAGGUCAAACCCAAAGUCACCCAACCUGCGGUGCGGGCCGUGCCGGGGAUCGGCCGCCUUUCCCGGCGGGGGUCUGGUCUCCGCUCCGCGACCUCAGGCGGCGGCCCAUACGCAGGCGCAGAGCGCCACCUGGCGGCCGCGGGUACCAGGUGCGGGGUCUCCGAGGGCCCGGGCCUGAAUGGGUCUCCGCAGAAGAGGUGGGGCAGGGGUCUCCUCCUCCUGAAGCAGGCUUUGUUUUGUCUCUGCUAUGUCGCAGGGGCCAGACUGGCACUCAGUAGAUGCUCACAUGUGUUUAUUAAAAAGGAUAGAUGGAUGGGCAAGAAAUCAAGGAUGAAGCAAACUGUAACGGAUCACACAACUUAGUUGGCAACAAGAAUUCAUUUAUUGGAAGUACGCACUGAAUUUAGAAUAAAAGCCAAACUCUUUGGAUCCUAUAUAAUCGCCGCUCAGACCUGGUUCCCCCAUUCGCGCUCCAGCCACAGUGACCCCCUUUUUGUUCUUUGAACAGGGAGUUUGUCUGCUCUCUUCUACACCCCAGUGUAUUCUGCCUCUACUCAGAUGUCACCCCUCAGAGAGCAAAGUCACUCUUUGCCCUACUUUUUUCAGUCUAUACUAUAUAGGGUGUCCCCCCCCAAAAUGUAUACACACACUUUGAAUAAUUAUAAAGGCAGUGUUUAUUAAAAUACAUUUCGCUUUCAAAAUUGAGCUAUCACCUGUUAAAGUGCAUAUACAUUAUUUUGGGACACCCUAUAUAUGUCUUUUAUAAUACUAGCAUCUUGUAAAAUUGUUUUGUCGCUCUCUGUCUUUGCUUAUUGUCAACUUCCCUGGAAUGAAUGCUAGGCUCCCUGGGCAGAGGGCUCUGUUUGGGAGAAGGGGAGUCAUCCAGCGCUGGAAUGUGUCUGACAAUCAAUUGACAUGUUAGAACUUUGGGAAUGAGUGAAUGAGGGAGGGAGAAGCAAAUGGACCAGGCCCUUGCACUUUAUUAUCACUAGAGGCCUGAUGCACGAAUUCAUGCACGGGUGGGGUCCCUCGUUGUGGCCUGUGGGGAUUGGGCCGAAACCGGCAGUCCAACGCCACCUACCGCUCCUGUCUGCCACUCCUGCUCAUCUGGAACACAACUGGCCCUCUGGGCGGGUGGUGAGAUGCCCUUGCCUGCCUGGGAUCCAGGAUCCAUCCUGCUGACUUUGCGCUGGUUGUAGGGAGCCGCCUGGCGGCUGUUUUUAUAUCAUGUCUUCCUUGUGGAGCAUCUAGGGAGGGGAAGUAGCCACGGUGGCCGAGGCUGGCAGCACUGUUGGGAUUGUGCAGGCAGCACCGGUCCAGUCAGUGCCUGGCCCAUUCUCUGGACAUUGGACCUACAGGACUACUGAGGGAGGGAGUGGCUGCCGCUGGGAUGGUCUGUCCACUGAGCAGCACUCCCUCUGUGGGAACCCACUGACCACCAGGGGGCAACUCCUGCGUGGAGCAUCUGCCCCCUGGUGGUCGUUUGGUCGCUUAGGCUUUUAUAUAUAUAGAUUUCUCUUUAUUGUUAUUCCAUUCCCCUGCACCCCCAUGUUUUGCUCACUCUAGCCCUGGGGUGCCUGGCUCCACUGACCUGUCCCAGCCUGCAAGUCCAGAGGCGCCUAGGACUGGGGGAGAGAAAGCCCAGAGGCCCCUCUACAACAUGCGCCUGCCUUGCCUUUUAGGCAGAGGACAGUUCUCACCCCUCUUUUUAGGGACUGGGAAGGACUGGGCCGCCGAGUGAGACUUCACUCAUAAUGCAAGAUAAUUAUACCAGGGUUGCCAUGACGUGGCGAUGAUUAAUUACUGUGCAUGGAGCAAGAUCAGCAAGGUAUCUAGAACUGAGAAAAGACCACAGCCCAACUGGACUUCCUGCCCAUCUCCUAAUCAGGCACCAGUCCAAGCCUCACCUUGGAAGAGGAGCUGUGGGGUAGCCGAGGCUCUCUGCCAAUCUCCAAAACACACACACACACACACACACACACACACACACACACACACUGCACGCGCACGCCCAGCCUGGCUGGGUGACCUUAGGCAAGUCACUUUCCUACUCUGAGCCUCAGGUCUGCCUCUGCAAACCUCCCUCCAGGGUUGCCAUUAGAGUUACUAAUAAACAUGUAUUUAAAAAGAAUUUUGUAACCCAGGCCUCAUAAAUUGGCAGUCCAAGCCUCAGGAGCCAAUACAAUGACUACUUGUUGCCAAUAUUUUGAAGUGGGAGAUUUCACACAGAGAGCCUCAUUUCCAGCUUCUCUUGAAAACUAGAAGGUUGGUUACCUCUGGCCUGCAUUCCUGCCUGUAAUGUAAUGCUGUGGUUCUGUUUUGCCAAGCAGG